Molecule: ribosomal RNA, 250 nt
Filed under: uncultured euryarchaeote
Lineage: Archaea; Methanobacteriati; Methanobacteriota
Description: partial 16S ribosomal RNA
Rfam family: Archaeal small subunit ribosomal RNA
Source: RNAcentral
GGCGCCCCGAGUGGCACUCGCGAUUAUUGGGCCUAAAGCGUCCGUAGCCGGAUUGGUAAAUCCUCUGUGAAAUCGUACUGCUCAACGGUACGGCGCGCAGGGGACACUGCUAGUCUAGGGACCGGGAGGGGUCAGAGGUAUGCCGUGGGGACCGGUAAAAUGGGAUAAUCCACGGUAGACCACCAAUGGCGAAGGCAUCUGACCAGAACGGAUCCGACGGUGAGGGACGAAAGCCAGGGGAGCGAACCGG